This 413-nucleotide ribosomal RNA is filed under the name Laspionchis bourkei. RNAcentral's name for it is "partial 16S ribosomal RNA". It matches the Rfam family "Archaeal large subunit ribosomal RNA", at positions 1993 to 2668 of the family's 2987-position model. The record is from RNAcentral. Lineage: Eukaryota; Metazoa; Mollusca; Gastropoda; Systellommatophora; Onchidiidae.
UGAUUGAUUAAAUGGCCGCAGUACCCUGACUGUGCUAAGGUAGCGUAAUCAGUUGGCUUUUAAAUGGAGUCGUGAAUGAAGGGAUCCACGGGAAUUAACUGUCUCUUUUUUUUAUUUAUUUGAACUUAUUAAGAAGGUGAAAAACCCUUCAAGUUGAAAAAAGACGAGAAGACCCUUAGAGUUUUUAGACGACUAAGCAGGUUGCUAUAAGUCUUUUUGCUGGGGCGGCAAAGAGACAUAUAUAUAUAUAACUCUCUCUCAAUAGUUUUUAGAAGACGUUAUUUUUAAGUAACAUGAAACUACCUUAGGGAUAACAGCAUAAUUAACCAAUUAGUUUGUGACCUCGAUGUUGGACUAGGAAAAACCUUGGCUAGUAGCCAAGGGUUCCGUUCUGUUCGAACAAUUGCUCCUAC